GAUGAACGCUAGCGGCAGGCUUAAUACAUGCAAGUCGAGGAGCAGCAGGGUGUAGCAAUGCAUCGCUGGCGACCGGCAAACGGGUGCGGAACACGUACGCAAUCUUCCCAAAACUGAUGAGUAGCCCUCCGAAAGGAGGAUUAAUACAUCGUAACAUAAUGAAGUGGCAUCACUUUAUUAUUAUAGCUCCGGCGGUUUUGGAUGAGCGUGCGUCUGAUUAGGUAGUUGGCGGGGUAACGGCCCACCAAGCCUACGAUCAGUAACUGGUGUGAGAGCACGUCCAGUCACACGGGCACUGAGACACGGGCCCGACUCCUACGGGAGGCAGCAGUAAGGAAUAUUGGUCAAUGGACGCAAGUCUGAACCAGCCAUGCCGCGUGGAGGAUGAAGGCCCUCUGGGUUGUAAACUUCUCUUAUCUGGGACGAAACCUGACCAUUCCUGGUCAGCUGACGGUACCAGAGGAAUAAGCACCGGCUAACUCCGUGCCAGCAGCCGCCGUUA
Molecule: ribosomal RNA, 502 nt
Filed under: uncultured bacterium
Lineage: Bacteria
Description: partial 16S ribosomal RNA
Rfam family: Bacterial small subunit ribosomal RNA
Source: RNAcentral